GGGGGAAUAUUGCACAAUGGGCGAAAGCCUGAUGCAGCGACGCCGCGUGAGGGAUGACGGCCUUCGGGUUGUAAACCUCUUUCAGUAGGGCCGAAGCGCAAGUGACGGUACCUACAGAAGAAGCACCGGCCAACUACGUGCCAGCAGCCGCUGUAAUACGUAGGGUGCGAGCGUUGUCCGGAUUUACUGGGCGUAAAGAGCUCGUAGGCGGUUUGUCACGUCGUCUGUGAAAACCCGAGGCUUAAACUCGGGCCUGCAGGCGAUACGGGCAGACUUGAGUACUGUAGGGGAGACUGGAAUUCCUGGUGUAGCGGUGGAAUGCGCAGAUAUCAGGAGGAACACCGGUGGCGAAGGCGGGUCUCUGGGCAGUAACUGACGCUGAGGAGCGAAAGCGUGGGUAGCGAACAGG
This 409-nucleotide ribosomal RNA is filed under the name bacterium. RNAcentral describes it as "partial 16S ribosomal RNA". It matches the Rfam family "Bacterial small subunit ribosomal RNA", at positions 355 to 776 of the family's 1533-position model. The record is from RNAcentral.